UACGUAGGGCGCAAGCGUUAUCCGGAAUUAUUGGGCGUAAAGAGCUCGUAGGCGGUUUGUCGCGUCGUUCGUGAAAACUCACAGCUUAACUGUGAGCUUGCGGUCGAUACGGGCAGGCUAGAGUUCGGUAGGGGAGACUGGAAUUCCUGGUGUAGCGGUGAAAUGCGCAGAUAUCAGGAGGAACACCCGUGGCGAAAGCGAGUUACUGGUCCACUACUGACGCUGAGGAACGAAAGCCAGGGUAGCAAAAGGG
Molecule: ribosomal RNA, 253 nt
Filed under: uncultured bacterium
Lineage: Bacteria
Description: partial 16S ribosomal RNA
Rfam family: Bacterial small subunit ribosomal RNA
Source: RNAcentral